Molecule: non-coding RNA, 91 nt
Organism: Mucidula mucida
Lineage: Eukaryota; Fungi; Basidiomycota; Agaricomycetes; Agaricales; Physalacriaceae
Source: the annotation of a GenBank genome assembly
GGUUCAGUGGUCUAGUGGUCAUGAUUUCUGUCUCACAUGCUGAUUGUGCAUUGUUCACAGAAGGUCCCCGUUUCGAGCACGGGCUGAACCA